GGAGGCGUGGCUGAGUGGUUGAAGGCACCGGUUUCGAAAACCGGCAUCGGGGUAACCUGAUCGUGAGUUCAAAUCUCACCGCCUCCGCCC
RNAcentral lists this transfer RNA (90 nucleotides) under Candidatus Nomurabacteria bacterium RIFCSPLOWO2_01_FULL_43_15. Its description in RNAcentral is "tRNA-Ser". It matches the Rfam family "tRNA". Rfam says of the family: Transfer RNA (tRNA) molecules are approximately 80 nucleotides in length. Their secondary structure includes four short double-helical elements and three loops (D, anti-codon, and T loops). Lineage: Bacteria; Candidatus Nomuraibacteriota. The record is from RNAcentral.